UGAUAAUCAUAUAUAAGGGUUGUUAAGUUUUUAAGAAAGAUCUUUAACUAAAUAGAUUGAUAAGUAAUAAACACCUUGUUAAACAAAACAAUAAAAUGUGUCACUGUGAAACAUCUUUCUGAGACAGUUCAUUUAGAAUUUAAAAUCACUGCAUACAAUCAUUUUGUCAAAUUAGUAUACACAAAAGGAUUAUAGAAAUAAAAAUUAACAGCUGUAAAAACAAACAGCAAUUAAUCAGAUUAAAAUGUCAGGGGCAAUGCCACUAUUACAGAUAUUUUAUCUAAUUAGCAAAAUAUUGCUAAUAUUUAGACAUUAUAUACAUUGUUUGUACUAAAAAAUAUUUUCAAUAUUGUGACAAGCACAC
This 364-nucleotide long non-coding RNA is filed under the name Mytilus galloprovincialis (Mediterranean mussel). Lineage: Eukaryota; Metazoa; Mollusca; Bivalvia; Mytilida; Mytilidae. The record is from RNAcentral.